Molecule: ribosomal RNA, 516 nt
Filed under: Cryptosporidium hominis
Lineage: Eukaryota; Apicomplexa; Conoidasida; Eucoccidiorida; Cryptosporidiidae
Description: partial small subunit ribosomal RNA
Rfam family: Eukaryotic small subunit ribosomal RNA
Source: RNAcentral
AUUAGGGUUCGAUUCCGGAGAGGGAGCCUGAGAAACGGCUACCACAUCUAAGGAAGGCAGCAGGCGCGCAAAUUACCCAAUCCUAAUACAGGGAGGUAGUGACAAGAAAUAACAAUACAGGACUUUUUGGUUUUGUAAUUGGAAUGAGUUAAGUAUAAACCCCUUUACAAGUAUCAAUUGGAGGGCAAGUCUGGUGCCAGCAGCCGCGGUAAUUCCAGCUCCAAUAGCGUAUAUUAAAGUUGUUGCAGUUAAAAAGCUCGUAGUUGGAUUUCUGUUAAUAAUUUAUAUAAUAUAUUUUGAUGAAUAUUUAUAUAAUAUUAACAUAAUUCAUAUUACUAUUUUUUUUUAGUAUAUGAAAUUUUACUUUGAGAAAAUUAGAGUGCUUAAAGCAGGCAUAUGCCUUGAAUACUCCAGCAUGGAAUAAUAUUAAAGAUUUUUAUCUUUUUUAUUGGUUCUAAGAUAAGAAUAAUGAUUAAUAGGGACAGUUGGGGGCAUUUGUAUUUAACAGUCAGAGGU